CCUACGGGUGGCAGCAGUGAGGAAUAUUGGUCAAUGGCCGCAGGGCUGAACCAGCCAAGUCGCGUGAGGGAUGACGGUCCUACGGAUUGUAAACCUCUUUUGUCAGGGAGCAAAGGGCGCCACGUGUGGCGCUUUGCGAGUACCUGAAGAAAAAGCAUCGGCUAACUCCGUGCCAGCAGCCGCGGUAAUACGGAGGAUGCGAGCGUUAUCCGGAUUUAUUGGGUUUAAAGGGUGCGCAGGCGGAAUGGCAAGUCAGCGGUAAAAUUGCGGGGCUCAACCCCGUCGUGCCGUUGAAACUGGCGUUCUUGAGUGAGCGAGAAGUAUGCGGAAUGCGUGGUGUAGCGGUGAAAUGCAUAGAUAUCACGCAGAACUCCGAUUGCGAAGGCAGCGUACCGGCGCCCAACUGACGCUGAAGCACGAAGGCGUGGGUAUCGAACAGGAUUAGAUACCCGGGUAGUC
Molecule: ribosomal RNA, 459 nt
Filed under: uncultured bacterium
Lineage: Bacteria
Description: partial 16S ribosomal RNA
Rfam family: Bacterial small subunit ribosomal RNA
Source: RNAcentral